This 497-nucleotide ribosomal RNA is filed under the name uncultured bacterium. RNAcentral describes it as "partial 16S ribosomal RNA". It matches the Rfam family "Bacterial small subunit ribosomal RNA", at positions 28 to 507 of the family's 1533-position model. The record is from RNAcentral.
GAUGAACGCUGGCGGCGUGCCUAAUACAUGCAAGUCGAGCGAACGGACGAGAAGCUUGCUUCUCUGAUGUUAGCGGCGGACGGGUGAGUAACACGUGGAUAACCUACCUAUAAGACUGGGAUAACUUCGGGAAACCGGAGCUAAUACCGGAUGAUAUUUUGAACCGCAUGGUUCAAAAGUGAAAGACGGUCUUGCUGUCACUUCUAGAUGGAUCCGCGCUGCUUUAGCUAGUUGGUAAGGUAACGGCUUACCAAGGCAACGAUGCAUAGCCGACCUGAGAGGGUGAUCGCCCACAUUGGAAGUGAGACACCGUCCAGACUCCUACGGGAGGCAGCAGUAGGGAAUGUUACGCAAUGGGCGAAAGCCUGACGGAGCGAGGCCGCGUGAGUGAUGAAGGUCUUCGGAUCGUAAAACUCUGUUAUGAGGGAAGAACAUAUGUGUACGUAACUGUGCACAUCUUGACGGUACCUAAUCAGAAAGCCACGGCUAACUACGUG